GCCAGGCCGUUACCAUUACGUUACGACCAUUAUAUGCCUGUUUUUGUUACUUGCGACCGUGACCACAAUUUGAAACCAUGGUUUGUACUCUAUUUUGUUUUCUUGGAAACAUCUAGAGGGAUAAAAUCAAUUAAAACAAUAGUUGAAAUGUCCUUUACUUCGACAGGAUCUUCAAUUUUCAUUGUUGUCUCCAUAGAAUCUUCUUCAUU
This 209-nucleotide unclassified non-coding RNA is filed under the name Hevea brasiliensis (rubber tree). The record is from RNAcentral. Lineage: Eukaryota; Viridiplantae; Streptophyta; Magnoliopsida; Malpighiales; Euphorbiaceae.